GAGGGUAUAGCCCAGUGGUAGAGUGCAUGCUUAGCAUGCAUGAGGUCCUGGGUUCAAUCCCCAGUAUCUCCA
RNAcentral lists this transfer RNA (72 nucleotides) under Camelus bactrianus (Bactrian camel). It matches the Rfam family "tRNA". From Rfam's summary of the family: Transfer RNA (tRNA) molecules are approximately 80 nucleotides in length. Their secondary structure includes four short double-helical elements and three loops (D, anti-codon, and T loops). The record is from Rfam by way of RNAcentral. RNAcentral also lists the same sequence under 2 other names. Lineage: Eukaryota; Metazoa; Chordata; Mammalia; Artiodactyla; Camelidae.